GACGAACGCUGGCGGCGUGCUUAACACAUGCAAGUCGAACGAUGACGACCGAGCUUGCUCGGUCUGAUUAGUGGCGAACGGGUGAGUAACACGUGAGCAACCUGCCCUUCACUCUGGGAUAACCUCGGGAAAUCGGGGCUAAUACCGGAUAUGAGCUCCUGUCGCAUGGCGGGUGUUGGAAAGUUUUUCGGUGAAGGAUGGGCUCGCGGCCUAUCAGUUUGUUGGUGAGGUAGUGGCUCACCAAGGCGAUGACGGGUAGCCGGCCUGAGAGGGUGACCGGCCACACUGGGACUGAGACACGGCCCAGACUCCUACGGGAGGCAGCAGUGGGGAAUAUUGCACAAUGGGCGAAAGCCUGAUGCAGCGACGCCGCGUGAGGGAUGACGGCCUUCGGGUUGUAAACCUCUUUCAGCAGGGAAGAAGCGAAAGUGACGGUACCUGCAGAAGAAGCGCCGGCUAACUACGUG
RNAcentral lists this ribosomal RNA (467 nucleotides) under uncultured bacterium. RNAcentral describes it as "partial 16S ribosomal RNA". It matches the Rfam family "Bacterial small subunit ribosomal RNA", at positions 28 to 507 of the family's 1533-position model. The record is from RNAcentral.